GGGCCCUUAGCUUAGUUGGUAGAGCACCUCAUUUGCAAUGAGGGGGUCAAGAGUUCGAAUCUCUUAGGGUCCA
This 73-nucleotide transfer RNA is filed under the name bacterium. RNAcentral's name for it is "tRNA-Ala". It matches the Rfam family "tRNA". From Rfam's summary of the family: Transfer RNA (tRNA) molecules are approximately 80 nucleotides in length. Their secondary structure includes four short double-helical elements and three loops (D, anti-codon, and T loops). Further hydrogen bonds mediate the characteristic L-shaped molecular structure. tRNAs have two regions of fundamental functional importance: the anti-codon, which is responsible for specific mRNA codon recognition, and the 3' end, to which the tRNAs corresponding amino acid is attached (by aminoacyl-tRNA synthetases). tRNAs cope with the degeneracy of the genetic code in two manners: having more than one tRNA (with a specific anti-codon) for a particular amino acid; and 'wobble' base-pairing, i.e. permitting non-standard base-pairing at the 3rd anti-codon position. The record is from RNAcentral.